GGCAGGGUGGCUGAGGCAAAAGGCGGUGGGUUGUAGCCCCACAUACAGAGGUUUAAAUCCUCUCUCUGCUA
Molecule: transfer RNA, 71 nt
Filed under: Champsodon cf. snyderi CBM-ZF 10876
Lineage: Eukaryota; Metazoa; Chordata; Actinopteri; Acropomatiformes; Champsodontidae
Description: tRNA-Tyr
Rfam family: tRNA
About the family: Transfer RNA (tRNA) molecules are approximately 80 nucleotides in length. Their secondary structure includes four short double-helical elements and three loops (D, anti-codon, and T loops). Further hydrogen bonds mediate the characteristic L-shaped molecular structure. tRNAs have two regions of fundamental functional importance: the anti-codon, which is responsible for specific mRNA codon recognition, and the 3' end, to which the tRNAs corresponding amino acid is attached (by aminoacyl-tRNA synthetases). tRNAs cope with the degeneracy of the genetic code in two manners: having more than one tRNA (with a specific anti-codon) for a particular amino acid; and 'wobble' base-pairing, i.e. permitting non-standard base-pairing at the 3rd anti-codon position.
Source: RNAcentral